Molecule: ribosomal RNA, 423 nt
Filed under: Triticum aestivum (bread wheat)
Lineage: Eukaryota; Viridiplantae; Streptophyta; Magnoliopsida; Poales; Poaceae
Description: partial small subunit ribosomal RNA
Source: RNAcentral
AUGGUCCUUUUCAUUCUUCCAUUAUUGCACUCGUACUUAGUGGACAGUAGAGGACAGGGUGAAAAAAGACAAAGGCAUAGCUCAAUCCUUUACGGCAAGGAGCAUGUUGACGAACUUCUUGAAGGACACGUGAAGAAUUGCUUGGUAGCUUUUAGGAUGGAACCAUACAUCUUUAAGUCUUUAGCAUCAUAUCUUAGAAGGAAAGAAUUGAUAAAAGACACAAGGCUCAAGGUGGAGAAGUUAGCAUUUUUCCUAUACAUGUUGUCACAUAAUUCAUCAUAUGAAGAUUUGCAACUGGAAUUCAGACACAGUGGAUCCACCUUUGAUAUCAUCCCUGCCCUAUGUACUCGCUUUGUGGAGCCUCCACGCAUUGACGAACCUCAUCCAAUAAUUGCUACCGAUGAACGAUUCUAUCCAUACUUC